CUGUAGCAAGGUUAACCGAAUAGGGGAGCCGAAGGGAAACCGAGUCUUAACUGGGCGUUAAGUUGCAGGGUAUAGACCCGAAACCCGGUGAUCUAGCCAUGGGCAGGUUGAAGGUUGGGUAACACUAACUGGAGGACCGAACCGACUAAUGUUGAAAAAUUAGCGGAUGACUUGUGGCUGGGGGUGAAAGGCCAAUCAAACCGGGAGAUAGCUGGUUCUCCCCGAAAGCUAUUUAGGUAGCGCCUCGUGAAUUCAUCUCCGGGGGUAGAGCACUGUUUCGGCAAGGGGGUCAUCCCGACUUACCAACCCGAUGCAAACUGCGAAUACCGGAGAAUGUUAUCACGGGAGACACACGGCGGGUGCUAACGUCCGUCGUGAAGAGGGAAACAACCCAGACCGCCAGCUAAGGUCCCAAAGUCAUGGUUAAGUGGGAAACGAUGUGGGAAGGCCCAGACAGCCAGGAUGUUGGCUUAGAAGCAGCCAUCAUUUAAAGAAAGCGUAAUAGCUCACUGGUCGAGUCGGCCUGCGCGGAAGAUGUAACGGGGCUAAACCAUGCACCGAAGCUGCGGCAGCGAC
This 576-nucleotide ribosomal RNA is filed under the name Escherichia coli. Its description in RNAcentral is "partial 23S ribosomal RNA". It matches the Rfam family "Bacterial large subunit ribosomal RNA", at positions 635 to 1212 of the family's 2925-position model. The record is from RNAcentral. Lineage: Bacteria; Pseudomonadati; Pseudomonadota; Gammaproteobacteria; Enterobacterales; Enterobacteriaceae.